Xyrichtys novacula (pearly razorfish) is the source of this 68-nucleotide non-coding RNA. Lineage: Eukaryota; Metazoa; Chordata; Actinopteri; Labriformes; Labridae. The record is from the annotation of a GenBank genome assembly.
GCAUGUGAUGACUUCAUCAUUCUUCACUUUGACCUGAGUAUCCAGUGAUGACGACUUUCAGCCUGAGC